Gopherus flavomarginatus (Mexican gopher tortoise) is the source of this 232-nucleotide long non-coding RNA. RefSeq lists it as uncharacterized. The transcript has 3 exons. The record is from RefSeq and is a predicted model, not a curated record. Lineage: Eukaryota; Metazoa; Chordata; Testudines; Testudinidae.
GAUCUCCUCGGCUUUGAGCUUCUCCUCCUCCCGCAUCUCGUUGUCGGACUCCAGGGCAUCAAAGACGGCGGCCCCGACCAGCAGGAGUGGGGAAGAGCAGCCUCCAGAUCUGGUUUGAAGAUAACGUUCUCCAAUGGAAAGGAAUCAUCAAGAUGCAUACAUGCUGAAACAGUGUCACCUCAGGAUCUUACCACUGUAGCUCUUGCCCUUCCCUAGACACAACAAAUCCUGC